This 71-nucleotide transfer RNA is filed under the name Syngnathus floridae (dusky pipefish). Its description in RNAcentral is "tRNA-Leu". It matches the Rfam family "tRNA". From Rfam's summary of the family: Transfer RNA (tRNA) molecules are approximately 80 nucleotides in length. Their secondary structure includes four short double-helical elements and three loops (D, anti-codon, and T loops). Further hydrogen bonds mediate the characteristic L-shaped molecular structure. tRNAs have two regions of fundamental functional importance: the anti-codon, which is responsible for specific mRNA codon recognition, and the 3' end, to which the tRNAs corresponding amino acid is attached (by aminoacyl-tRNA synthetases). tRNAs cope with the degeneracy of the genetic code in two manners: having more than one tRNA (with a specific anti-codon) for a particular amino acid; and 'wobble' base-pairing, i.e. permitting non-standard base-pairing at the 3rd anti-codon position. Lineage: Eukaryota; Metazoa; Chordata; Actinopteri; Syngnathiformes; Syngnathidae. RNAcentral also lists the same sequence under 2 other names. The record is from RNAcentral.
GCUCGUGAAGGAUAGUAGUUAUCCAUUGGUCUUAGGAACCAAAACUCUUGGUGCAAAUCCAAGCACCAGCU